UAAAACUUUCGAUCCACUUAUCCACUUGUCGAGCUUAAUAAAAAGGGAGGUUUUCUCGGCAAUAGAAGACAAGAAAUUUUGUCACUAUCAAUCAAAUUUCAAGGUUAUUCUGCUGGCUCACAAUUAAAAUAAAAUAUUAUAUGUGUAAGCGUCAAGCAUUGAAGAUUCCUAAGUGGAAGGAGCAUAUUUUUCGUAUCUAUGUAUAAUUACUUCAAACCAAUCACUCAGGAGAUGUCUCGUGUAUAAAACGCGGUAACUCUUAGAAAGAGGAGAGGAGAGAGCAAGAAAUAAGGCCGCAGAUUCAGGAGUAGAUCUACGCAUAGCAUCCAUAUCAACUGCGAGACUCAGUUGUUAAUUCUCUGUUAAACUCUGGCGAAACCGACGCUACCAACAACAAUUAAUCGAUUUGAAACGUUAGCUGUUAAAAAAAUAAUUGUCAAGAAAGGCAACACAAGAUGAUUGUUUCACAUAACAUCCGCCCGUCCGUCCAUCCAUCCAUCCAUCCAUACAGAAGAAGCGAUUCGCGAUACGUUGAAGGCAUUCAACUGGGAGGCGCUAGUUAAUAACGAAGCUCAAGUACUUCUGACUACUACUUGUUUUAUCGAUGGGAUACGCGUUCGCUGACACUUUGCGCUGUUUCUUCGCUUCUUACGAACCUGUACGAAAUGGCUGGCUCGCCUCAAAAUACCAACAGUUUUGGCAUGACGCCCGCAAAUGAUUAGAUAGGUGGGAAAAAUGCAUAGCUAGCGAUGGUGCGUACCUGGUAUAUAAAUAAUUUUAAUCUUUGAUGCUAAUCUACUUGGAUGCUAAUCUAUCUGGAAGUGCUAUUACUAUAUACGUACAUAUUAACUAGGAAGGAUUUAUAAGAAGAAAGUAAUAGGUCACAAGCAAAAUGUUGAUACUACGAGGCAUAACAAAUUAUUAUCAACUCUCAGGAGUAAUGAUAAUAUUGCUCUCUUCUGGAUUUCUUGACUUUUUUUUUUGGUUUUUCUAUUCAUGAAUAAAAAAAGAAUUUCUAUUAAAUCUUCUUAACGCUUGCAACAUUUUAGGUUUUAAGUGGGAAAUCAAUACAAAAAAGCUUCGCAAACACAGAAGCAAUAGCAUUUAAUAGUUUAAGAGGGGGAAAACUAAUAAUAGUAUGUAAGUAGAGUAUAUCGAAUACAAGUAUAAAUUAUAAUCUUAUGGUGGUGAUGACGAAUUCGGGAUAUCUACAACUAAUUGAAGACGUCAGAAAAC
Molecule: long non-coding RNA, 1236 nt
Organism: Glossina fuscipes
Lineage: Eukaryota; Metazoa; Arthropoda; Insecta; Diptera; Glossinidae
Exons: 3
Source: RefSeq, a predicted model, not a curated record